GGUUAGAUAAGCUAAUGCAGCUAUUGGGUUAUAAGUCCAAAAUGAAAUUAGGUUUUCUUACUA
RNAcentral lists this transfer RNA (63 nucleotides) under Gynaikothrips ficorum. RNAcentral describes it as "tRNA-Tyr". The record is from RNAcentral. Lineage: Eukaryota; Metazoa; Arthropoda; Insecta; Thysanoptera; Phlaeothripidae.